CGUGGAGCUCGACUCGGAGCCGUUCAGGAGCUGGACGAUCCGGUCGUAUUUUUUACGGGUCACCGUCUUGGUUUUUCCUGAGUCCCCGAGGCAAAACGGAUCUGGUGGAGGUUCCUCUUAUCCUUCCACUGUACGUGAUCAGUCUCUUUAAUAAUUGUGCAAGGCAGGACUAUCCCACUGGCUCCAGCAGCAGCGCCUUACCCACAGAGGGUUCGGUUGGAUAAAUAAUUAAAAUCCCAUCCCUCGGCUUACCGAAGGAAAAAGAAAAUAUUGACUCGGAUCCUUCUUCUUUUCCAUACAUCAACUGCACCCGGAUUCAACCUGGAUAGUGCAGGUGAAGAGGAGGAAAAAAAAAAAAAAAAAAAGAACGGAAAGAAGAGAAAAAGCCCACCCUAGUCCGCCCCGGCAGCCCUCGGCUGUCUUCUCCGAAGGCUUUCUGAGCUUUCUGUCUCUGUCCUGGCGGGCUGUGCCUCUCCCCAAAGCCGCCUCGCCGCGCAGGAUGGAAGAAGCACUGAAGGGCACACUGGUCUCUUUGCUCCCCCUUUAUUCCAAGGCUGGGCGGCUUUGCUUCAGAUAUCCCCGCUCCGGGCAUGAAGGUACUGGAAAGAAAGAAAGUUCUUACCUGCUAUUUUCUAAGCCUAAUGCAUCCGAUCCGCGUUUAAAGUACAUAAUUUUUAAUUUUUAAAAAAUGGUCUGUGAAAAUUUCACUUCCUCAUAUUGAGUCCCAUUGAAUUUUCAUAUGCCCUUUCAGGAAUUUUCCUCUGUUUAUUUACAUAGCGAUCCCAGCCGAUGGAAGGAAAAAAAAAAAAAAAAAGAAGAAAGAAAGAAAGAAAACCCAUAUAUAUGAAACAGGCUUGGAUAUUGGACCAGAGGAGAGAUCAGUCCCAGGAGGAUGUUGGUACAGGAAAGGAGGCGGCUCUCGUUGCUCUGCCAGUGUAAUGAUGGUGCUCACACAUGUAGGACUCCUCGGGUGCGGGGUAUCCUUUGGUCUCUGGGCUAAACUGGCUACAAGGCAUUCAAUUAAGAUUUUUGAUUCGUGUUGUUGGAAGAUAUGGAUGUUUCAUGACUGCUUCCAGUAAUCACUUGGCCAGAAGUCCUAGGAGCAUCCUGGAACACCACCCACCCUGCCAGACAAUGGAUCAGCACAGGAUACAAAACUUAUUCCUACCCUAAAGAAUUGGUGAUCUAAAAACGGGCAAUUACAUGAAUUAACAGAGUUUAAUUACACAGUCUGGAAUCUCCUUGCAAUGAAAAGUGCUUGCACAGAUCAUCCUCCUGUCAAGAGUUGUAAUGACAACCUGUUAUUCAGCUGAAAUUGAAACUCCUGUGGCAUCCUUGAGUAGAGGGACUGUGUUGGUCCUUCAGUGCCAUGGACUGAGGCUGUUCUGUGCUCUGCAUUUGCAGAACUCACUUGCCUCUGCCAGAAAAUGAAAGUUUCUCUCCUCUGGUGUGGAGACACCACGUCCGUGCCUUGCUGGCUUGAUUGCUCUGCAGCCAGCCUGAAACAAUACACCACCAACAGAUGUGUGAACAUUUCCAUUCAGUGGAAUGAAGUGCUAGCUGCAAAACAGAGUUUUGGCUAUUUGAAUUGCCUCAUGUGCAUCAAGCUGUGAAAGAGGUUUAAAGUAAAUCAUGAAUAUCAUAAAUACUGUAUUUUUUGAAUUAUCAGCUCUAACAAGUCCACUGGCACUAGAAAGUGAAGACAGGCAGAAUGGGGCCUGAUGUCUCUCAUUGGAGUUACCAGGGUUUCUAGAUGAUAUUACAAUCUUGCAGUGACGUGGAACUGAGUCCACAGAAAAAGCGGAGAGAUAUUUUCAAGUUUUUUAAACUUGCUGCAAAAUAGAGAGUAGGUUUUUGGCUUAAAUCUGUCAUCUGACUUCUACCAAAGAGAAUUGUUUGGAAAACAUGCACCAUAUUUCAGCACAGUGCUUGAUAUGGCAUUACUGGAUGGCUAAGGGUACACUUUGAGGAUGUGAAUUUCCUGCCUCUUGGGUUUUUUGUUCAUUGACAUAGCGAGAAAAAAUUAUUUUGACACUUCUGUCUUGUCAUGUCCAUGAGUUACGUUGGAAAGCCCCUUUCUGUGCAGACUGAAAAUCAUCCAUGCUGAACUGACAGAAGAUGUGCUGAGGAAUAAAGAAACUGCAGCUCCAAAUGGUUUGCUUUAAACUACA
This is a long non-coding RNA of Melozone crissalis (California towhee), 2171 nucleotides long. RefSeq lists it as uncharacterized. The transcript has 4 exons. NCBI's taxonomy places the organism in Eukaryota, Metazoa, Chordata, Aves, Passeriformes, Passerellidae. The record is from RefSeq and is a predicted model, not a curated record.